RNAcentral lists this ribosomal RNA (1319 nucleotides) under Stenotrophomonas sp. 92mfcol6.1. RNAcentral describes it as "bacterial LSU rRNA". It matches the Rfam family "Bacterial large subunit ribosomal RNA", at positions 925 to 2231 of the family's 2925-position model. Lineage: Bacteria; Pseudomonadati; Pseudomonadota; Gammaproteobacteria; Lysobacterales; Lysobacteraceae. The record is from RNAcentral. RNAcentral also lists the same sequence under 1 other name.
GGUCAUCGCGACUUACCAAACCAUUGCAAACUCCGAAUACCGAGACGGACUGUAUGGGAGACACACGGCGGGUGCUAACGUCCGUCGUGAAAAGGGAAACAACCCAGACCCACAGCUAAGGUCCCAAAUUUUGUGCUAAGUGGAAAACCAUGUGGAAAGGCACAGACAGCCAGGAGGUUGGCUUAGAAGCAGCCACCCUUUAAAGAAAGCGUAAUAGCUCACUGGUCGAGUCGGUCUGCGGGGAAGAUUUAACGGGGCUAAGCACAGAACCGAAGCUUGGGGUGUGCAUAUUUAUAUGUACGCGGUAGAGGAGCGUUCCGUAAGCCGUUGAAGGUGGAUUGAGAAGUCUGCUGGAGGUAUCGGAAGUGCGAAUGCUGACAUGAGUAACGAUAAUGCGGGUGAAAAACCCGCACGCCGAAAGCCCAAGGUUUCCUUGCGCAACGUUAAUCGGCGCAGGGUGAGUCGGCCCCUAAGGCGAGGACGAAAGUCGUAGUCGAUGGGAAGCAGGUUAAUAUUCCUGCACCUCGCGUAAGUGCGAUGGAGGGACGGAGAAGGUUAGGCAUACCGGGCGUUGGUUGUCCCGGGGAAAGGCGGUAGGUUUGGAUCUUUGGCAAAUCCGGGAUCCUUCAAGACCGAGCACCGAGACGAGCCUUUAUGGCGAAGUUGCUGAUACCACGCUUCCAGGAAAAGCUCCUAAGCUUCAGCUUACGCAGACCGUACCGUAAACCGACACAGGUGGGUAGGAUGAGAAUUCUCAGGCGCUUGAGAGAACUCGGGUGAAGGAACUAGGCAACAUGGCACCGUAACUUCGGGAGAAGGUGCACCCUUUUUGGUGGCUCAUGCGAGCUAUAGCUGAAGAGGGUCGCAGUAACCAGGCCGCUGCGACUGUUUAUCAAAAACACAGCACUCUGCAAACACGAAAGUGGACGUAUAGGGUGUGACGCCUGCCCGGUGCUGGAAGGUUAAUUGAUGGGGUCAGCCGCAAGGCGAAGCUCUUGAUCGAAGCCCCAGUAAACGGCGGCCGUAACUAUAACGGUCCUAAGGUAGCGAAAUUCCUUGUCGGGUAAGUUCCGACCUGCACGAAUGGCGUAACGACAGCGGCGCUGUCUCCACCCGAGACUCAGUGAAAUUGAAAUCGCUGUGAAGAUGCAGCGUUCCCGUGGCAAGACGGAAAGACCCCGUGAACCUUUACUAUAGCUUUACACUGAACGUUGAGUUCGUCUGUGUAGGAUAGGUGGGAGGCUAUGAAACCAUGGCGCUAGCUGUGGCGGAGCCAUCCUUGAAAUACCACCCUGUCGUGCUUGACGUUCUAACCUGGG